AUCCACCACUCGUCCACUCCGUUUCUGAGCGCACCGUCUGCGCUCACCUGACGACUGCUCGCCACGUGUUGCUAGCC
RNAcentral lists this small RNA (77 nucleotides) under Xanthomonas nasturtii. Its description in RNAcentral is "sX9 sRNA". It matches the Rfam family "Xanthomonas sRNA sX9". The record is from RNAcentral. Lineage: Bacteria; Pseudomonadati; Pseudomonadota; Gammaproteobacteria; Lysobacterales; Lysobacteraceae.